GCGCAGCAAUUGACGUUACCCGCAGAAGAAGCACCGGCUAACUCCGUGCCAGCAGCCGCGGUAAUACGGAGGGUGCAAGCGUUAAUCGGAAUUACUGGGCGUAAAGCGCACGCAGGCGGUCUGUCAAGUCGGAUGUGAAAUCCCCGGGCUCAACCUGGGAACUGCAUUCGAAACUGG
RNAcentral lists this ribosomal RNA (177 nucleotides) under Salmonella enterica subsp. enterica serovar Newport. RNAcentral's name for it is "partial 16S ribosomal RNA". It matches the Rfam family "Bacterial small subunit ribosomal RNA", at positions 460 to 636 of the family's 1533-position model. Lineage: Bacteria; Pseudomonadati; Pseudomonadota; Gammaproteobacteria; Enterobacterales; Enterobacteriaceae. The record is from RNAcentral.